Molecule: ribosomal RNA, 394 nt
Filed under: uncultured bacterium
Lineage: Bacteria
Description: bacterial SSU rRNA
Rfam family: Bacterial small subunit ribosomal RNA
Source: RNAcentral
GUGUCAGCAGCCGCGGUAAGACGAACCGUGCGAACGUUGUUCGGAAUCACUGGGCUUAAAGGGCGCGUAGGCGGCUUGCCAAGUCCGGGGUGAAAUCCUGCAGCUUAACUGUAGAAGGGCCUUGGAUACUGGCGAGCUCGAGGGAGGUAGGGGUGCGUGGAACUUCUGGUGGAGCGGUGAAAUGCGUUGAUAUCAGAAGGAACGCCGGGGGCGAAAGCGACGCACUGGAUCUCUUCUGACGCUGAGGCGCGAAAGCUAGGGGAGCAAACGGGAUUAGAUACCCCGGUAGUCCUAGCCCUAAACGAUGGGCACUAGAUUGCGGGCUUAUCAUGGGUUCGCAAUCGAAGCAAAAGUGUUAAGUGCCCCGCCUGGGGAGUAUGGUCGCAAGGCUGAA